This 768-nucleotide long non-coding RNA is filed under the name Eucalyptus grandis. RNAcentral describes it as "long non-coding RNA (EGRA_LNC001516)". The record is from RNAcentral. Lineage: Eukaryota; Viridiplantae; Streptophyta; Magnoliopsida; Myrtales; Myrtaceae.
GGGGUAAAAAUUGGAGAUAGGGAUAAUGGUGAGGUGGGGGUGUGCCGGGUCGAGGUGGAUUUCCCCUCGUCAAAAAUGGGGGGUGGGGAUUAUUGAGAGAUGGGGGCGAGGACGUUCGCCCUGUUUACUUAAUAUAUUAUAUAUCAGGGGUGUUCGGUCUUAGCAUAAACAGGUUCCACUUUACAAUCGAAAACUGAAUUAGAAUGAAUCGGUUAUUAAUUUGUGGAAAAAUGAAACUAGUCAUUUGAUCCUGAAACCAGAUCGGUCCGGUUUCUGAGUGGGUUGAAGGAACCGGUGGUGUUGUAGGUCUACUUCCAAAGCCAUUCUGGUUUGGAGCCAGUUGAAGAAAGCGAGAGAUAUUUGAGAGUUUGUCUCAAUUUUGCAUUGGAUUCAAAGGAAGAGAGAUGGGUUUGAGUGAGAAGCGAGAUCGAGGGUUUCAAGAACAGGGAUCUUGGCUCGCCUCUUGAGGAGAGUGAAGAUCAUCAGGUCGUCCUUGUCUCGUGAAGUUGGCGUGGCCGAUGAAAUUGUCGUUGUCAGAGUCGAUAUCAUCCAUCAUGCGGGUGAUCUCAAUAGGGGGAGGAGGCCAAAAACAGAGCAAGAGAGAGAGAGGCGAGAGUCGAGGCUUGAGGUGAGAUGACGAGAGGGAGGCGUGGAGGCUACGAGGGGCUGCGAGAGAUUGAGAGUGACUGACCCGUGAGUUGAAGACUGAUGAGGGUUUGUGAAGAAUGGAUUAGGAUUUUCAGGCUUGGGAAAGAGGCGUGUGCGAGG